CAUGAAGUUGUUGCUACCUACAGAUCAAGAUAAUCAACAAAGAAUCAGUCAAGAUAAAUCAUAUUGUAUAUACGAUGCACUGCAGAAAAAUCACAGUAUAUAUACGCUGCACUGCUGAACAAUCAUAACUUAAAAGCAGCACUCCAGAUAAAAUCGCAGUGCAUAAACUAUGUAUUGACAAGUGGGUGAAGGCAAGUGCAUAAAAGCAGUACAUAAAAGCAUCACUCCAGAGGAAAGGCAAGCUUGAAGUCCAAAAUAAUCUCUGAAGAGGUUUAUUAUCCUCUAGCAUAUGCUUAGUUUCUGGAGAAGACGUUACACUAGUUCCUGAAGAAGAUGUUGCUUCUUGGUCCUCUUCAAAUAAGGAUAAUCUCAUGAUGUUUGAUUUCUUAUGAUAACACAUUUUUUGUUUGGAUGAAUACAUGUUUAUACAUGUGCAUGGUAAAACUAAAGCUCAUGAGGAUCUGCAUACUACAAGUCUUAUUAAU
Long non-coding RNA from Papaver somniferum (opium poppy), 485 nucleotides. RefSeq lists it as uncharacterized. NCBI's taxonomy places the organism in Eukaryota, Viridiplantae, Streptophyta, Magnoliopsida, Ranunculales, Papaveraceae. The transcript is spliced from 3 exons. The record is from RefSeq and is a predicted model, not a curated record.